RNAcentral lists this ribosomal RNA (253 nucleotides) under uncultured bacterium. RNAcentral describes it as "partial 16S ribosomal RNA". It matches the Rfam family "Bacterial small subunit ribosomal RNA", at positions 524 to 776 of the family's 1533-position model. The record is from RNAcentral.
UACGAAGGGUGCAAGCGUUACUCGGAAUUACUGGGCGUAAAGCGUGCGUAGGUGGUGAGUUAAGUCUGUCGUGAAAGCCCCGGGCUCAACCUGGGAAUGGCGAUGGAUACUGGCUCGCUAGAGUGCGGUAGAGGAGAGUGGAAUUCCCGGUGUAGUGGUGAAAUGCGUAGAGAUCGGGAGGAACACCUGUGGCGAAGGCGGCUCGCUGGGCCGGUCCUGACGCUGAAACGCGAAGGCGUGGGGAGCGAACGGG